RNAcentral lists this long non-coding RNA (226 nucleotides) under Lathyrus oleraceus (garden pea). Its description in RNAcentral is "Pisum sativum (pea) long non-coding RNA (PSAT_LNC029367)". Lineage: Eukaryota; Viridiplantae; Streptophyta; Magnoliopsida; Fabales; Fabaceae. The record is from RNAcentral.
UGGAGGUUGCUGCAGAUUAAUUCUCACUCUCUCUGUCUAGGUUUCUUUUCAGGUUUUGUCCAGGGUUUUGUUCCAAGGAAAUCUCAGAGUGUUUUGCUUCUCUUCCUUUUUUUGUCUGUUCUCCCUCUUUUAUAACCUGAUUUUCAUGGCUUUGUGGGCUUAAAUGAGAGAGGCCCAAGUCCAAGAUUUUUCUAUUAUAUUUUAUUUAUUUAUUUAUUUAUUUAAU